Molecule: ribosomal RNA, 415 nt
Filed under: uncultured soil bacterium
Lineage: Bacteria
Description: bacterial SSU rRNA
Rfam family: Bacterial small subunit ribosomal RNA
Source: RNAcentral
AGGACGAACGCUGGCGGCGUGCCUAAUGCAUGCAAGUCGAGGGAGAACCGCUCAAUCCGUAAGGAGCGAGCGGGGAAACCGGCGAACGGGUGCGUAACACGUGAGGAACCUGCCCUGAAGACCGGGAUAGCCCGGGGAAACCCGGAUUAAUACCGGAUGAUCUCAUCGGACCGCAUGGCCUGGUGAGCAAACAGUCCGCUGCUUCAGGAUGGCCUCGCGGCCUAUCAGCUUGUUGGUGGGGUAACGGCCUACCAAGGCAUCGACGGGUAGCUGGUCUGAGAGGACGAUCAGCCACACUGGGACUGAGACACGGUCCAGACUCCUACGGGAGCAGCAGUGGGGAAUAUUGGACAAUGGGGGAAACCUGAUCCAGCAACGCCGCGUGGAGGAUGAAGGUCUUCGGAUUGUAAACUCC